RNAcentral lists this ribosomal RNA (258 nucleotides) under uncultured bacterium. RNAcentral describes it as "partial 16S ribosomal RNA". It matches the Rfam family "Bacterial small subunit ribosomal RNA", at positions 96 to 354 of the family's 1533-position model. The record is from RNAcentral.
UGGCGGACGGGUGAGUAACGCAUGGAAAACCUGCCGUAUACUGGGGGAUAACACUUAGAAAUAGGUGCUAAUACCGCAUAAGCGCACAGCUUCGCAUGAAGCGGUGUGAAAAACUCUGGUGGUAUACGAUGGUUCCGCGUCUGAUUAGCUAGUUGGUGGGGUAAUGGCCUACCAAGGCAACGAUCAGUAGCCGGCCUGAGAGGGUGAACGGCCACAUUGGGACUGAGACACGGCCCAAACUCCUACGGAAGGCAGCAG